GAUUGACUAAUUAAUCAAAUUCUAGGAAAUUAAUUUUAAUUGUUUCAACUUUAAGAUGAUUUUUACUUUUCUCGACUCUGUUUGCUUUUCACGAGAUUGAACAUCACAAGUAAAUUCGGAAACAAACCAUUUCCAUUUCUAUGAGUUAAUAAGACAACAACCAGAUUCCAUUGGAAUAUUUGAAGAUCCAGUUGUGUCAUCUGAUGGAGCUGAAUGGAGAAACAAGAAUUGUUAUUCUAUUAAUAAGACCGAUCAAGUGAUUUUACCCCAAAGCCAAUGUGAAAAUUGAAUAAUCAUCUUUGACUGUGAUAAAUGUGACAACUGAUUUGAUUGAUUUUCCCUUAUAACAAUUGUUGUUACUUUGUUGAUUAACAUGUGAGAACAAUUAAGAAAAGGAAAAUUAUAAGGUAACAUAAUUUUCCCUAAUAUGGAUAGUAAAUUAUGUUAAUUGUUGAAAAUGAAUUUGAUUCAACACAAUUUCACCGUAAUGUUAGAAAAAGAGAUAAAAUUUGAACUUUUGUUAUCUUAAAUCAACAAUAAUCAGUUAUCACAAUUAAUCAGAUGACAAUUUGUUGCCUUUAUAUAUAAUUUAAAUGCUGCUAAUUGGUGUUUGCGGAUUCAAGUAGCAAAAAAAUUCAGUAAACAAGAAAUACGAGCAAAGAAACAAAAAAUUAACUAACCAUCAUCAUAACCCCUUAAGGGUAAAAUGAUGGGAACUAAUUUAUUAAUGAAGUUAAAUCAAUGGUGGUAACUAUUAUUUUCCCAAUUAAAGGUCAUUAUCAUUAUAUAAACGUUUUUUUUAAAGGUAUCCUAAUGAUAAUUAAAUGUUUCAUCAUCGUCUCUUGAUGAUAAUUAAAUGUAUCAUCUUCAUCCGCAUGUUGAUCAAGGUAACAAUUUGUAAAUACUAUUCACUAAUCAUCCCGGAUCAUCAUCAUCAUCAUCAUCAUCAUCAUCAUCAUCGUCAUCAUCAAUUAAUUAAACAUUAAGAAAAGAUAAAGUAUCAAGAUAAAUUGUUAAUCAUUCGUCUUUUUGUCUUACCUUUCGUAAAUUGUAUUAUUAAAAUUACAGUUAAUUAACCUAAAAAAGAAGCAACAAAAUUAAGUUAAUCACCUAAUCCAAUGAAAUAUAUCAUAUUAACUGAUCAACCAAUUCAAUUAUUAUAAUACAAUUACAAUUUUUUUUUACUUGUUUCAUUUUGGUUUUCAUUCAGCAACCGCAACAUCAUCAAGUUAUGAUUAAUAAAACACA
Molecule: long non-coding RNA, 1248 nt
Organism: Panonychus citri (citrus red mite)
Lineage: Eukaryota; Metazoa; Arthropoda; Arachnida; Trombidiformes; Tetranychidae
Exons: 3
Source: RefSeq, a predicted model, not a curated record